AGUUUUGCGCAGUGGCAGUAUCGUAGCCACUGAGGUUUAUCUCAGGCGCAAUUAUUGCUGAUUGAAAACUUUUCCCCUGUGAG
RNAcentral lists this small nuclear RNA (83 nucleotides) under Vulpes vulpes (red fox). RNAcentral describes it as "U4 spliceosomal RNA (ENSVVUG00000003672.1)". It matches the Rfam family "U4 spliceosomal RNA". From Rfam's summary of the family: U4 small nuclear RNA (U4 snRNA) is a component of the major U2-dependent spliceosome. The record is from RNAcentral. Lineage: Eukaryota; Metazoa; Chordata; Mammalia; Carnivora; Canidae.